RNAcentral lists this transfer RNA (71 nucleotides) under Marmota monax (woodchuck). It matches the Rfam family "tRNA". From Rfam's summary of the family: Transfer RNA (tRNA) molecules are approximately 80 nucleotides in length. Their secondary structure includes four short double-helical elements and three loops (D, anti-codon, and T loops). The record is from Rfam by way of RNAcentral. Lineage: Eukaryota; Metazoa; Chordata; Mammalia; Rodentia; Sciuridae.
GGGGUUGUAGCUCAGUGGUAGAGCGCAUGCCUAGCCCAUGUGGGCCACUGGGUUCAAUCCUCAGCACCCCA